RNAcentral lists this ribosomal RNA (447 nucleotides) under uncultured bacterium. RNAcentral describes it as "bacterial SSU rRNA". It matches the Rfam family "Bacterial small subunit ribosomal RNA", at positions 329 to 793 of the family's 1533-position model. The record is from RNAcentral.
GUCCAGACUCCUACGGGAGGCAGCAGUGGGGAAUAUUGCACAAUGGGGGAAACCCUGAUGCAGCAACGCCGCGUGAGUGAAGAAGUAUUUCGGUAUGUAAAGCUCUAUCAGCAGGGAAGAGAAUGACGGUACCUGACUAAGAAGCCCCGGCUAACUACGUGCCAGCAGCCGCGGUAAUACGUAGGGGGCGAGCGUUAUCCGGAUUUACUGGGUGUAAAGGGAGCGUAGACGGCUGGUCAAGUCUGAAGUGAAAGCCCGGGGCUUAACCCCGGAACGGCUUUGGAAACUGAGCAGCUAGAGUGCUGGAGAGGUAAGCGGAAUUCCUAGUGUAGCGGUGAAAUGCGUAGAUAUUAGGAGGAACACCAGUGGCGAAGGCGGCUUACUGGACAGUAACUGACGUUGAGGCUCGAAAGCGUGGGGAGCAAACAGGAUUAGAUACCCUGGUAC